UCACAAGGAAAAGUGUCUAAAAUGGACCUG
RNAcentral lists this non-coding RNA (30 nucleotides) under Rattus norvegicus (Norway rat). Lineage: Eukaryota; Metazoa; Chordata; Mammalia; Rodentia; Muridae. The record is from RNAcentral.